Molecule: ribosomal RNA, 136 nt
Filed under: Saimiri boliviensis boliviensis (Bolivian squirrel monkey)
Lineage: Eukaryota; Metazoa; Chordata; Mammalia; Primates; Cebidae
Source: RNAcentral
GUCUCUGGCUGUAUCACCCUGAACACACUCGAUCUUGUCUGAUCUCAGAAGCUAAGCAGGGUCAGGCCUGGUUAGUACUUGGAAGGGAGAAAUUAUCUCAAUUCAAACAUCACAAAAAAUCUGAAAGCCAGCUACC